Molecule: non-coding RNA, 96 nt
Filed under: human gut metagenome
Description: NiCo riboswitch
Rfam family: NiCo (Nickel/Cobalt) riboswitch aptamer
Source: RNAcentral
ACAGUACAAACUGAGCAGGCGAUGCCCGUGAGGGCGUGGGGCCGGGCCACUGUAUAGGUGGCAGCAGAUAACGAGUAUGCACAUCUGUGGGACAGU